This 427-nucleotide ribosomal RNA is filed under the name uncultured bacterium. RNAcentral describes it as "bacterial SSU rRNA". It matches the Rfam family "Bacterial small subunit ribosomal RNA", at positions 355 to 774 of the family's 1533-position model. The record is from RNAcentral.
UGGUGAAUUUUGCCCCCUUUUCUCCCACCUGAUCCAGCCAUUCCGCGUGCAGGACGAAGGCCUUCGGGUUGUAAACUGCUUUUGUACGGAACGAAAAGCCCUUCUCUAAUACAGAGGGGUCAUGACGGUACCGUAAGAAUAAGCACCGGCUAACUACGUGCCAGCAGCCGCGGUAAUACGUAGGGUGCAAGCGUUAAUCGGAAUUGCUGGGCGUAAAGCGUGCGCAGGCGGUUUUGUAAGACAGAGGUGAAAUCCCCGGGCUCAACCGGGGAACUGCCUUUGUGACUGCAAGGCAGGAGGGAGGAAGAGGGGGAUGGAAUUCAGCGUGUAGCAGUGAAAUGCGUAGAUAUGCGGAGGAACACCGAUGGCGAAGGCAGCCUCCUGGGCCAGUACUGAAACUGAGUAACGAAAGCGGGGGGAGCAAAGA